This 21-nucleotide non-coding RNA is filed under the name Mus musculus (house mouse). RNAcentral also lists the same sequence under 1 other name. Lineage: Eukaryota; Metazoa; Chordata; Mammalia; Rodentia; Muridae. The record is from RNAcentral.
UAAGACGAGCAAAAAGCUUGU